Molecule: transfer RNA, 73 nt
Filed under: Lachnospiraceae bacterium
Lineage: Bacteria; Bacillati; Bacillota; Clostridia; Lachnospirales; Lachnospiraceae
Description: tRNA-His
Rfam family: tRNA
About the family: Transfer RNA (tRNA) molecules are approximately 80 nucleotides in length. Their secondary structure includes four short double-helical elements and three loops (D, anti-codon, and T loops).
Source: RNAcentral
GAGAAGAUAGCUUAACUGGCAGAGUACCGGAUUGUGACUCCGGGGGAUGCGGGUUCAACUCCCGUUCUUCUCC